RNAcentral lists this ribosomal RNA (637 nucleotides) under Massilia sp. Ri1Pw_5697. RNAcentral describes it as "bacterial SSU rRNA". It matches the Rfam family "Bacterial small subunit ribosomal RNA", at positions 378 to 1007 of the family's 1533-position model. The record is from RNAcentral. Lineage: Bacteria; Pseudomonadati; Pseudomonadota; Betaproteobacteria; Burkholderiales; Oxalobacteraceae.
GCAGCCUGAUCCAGCAAUGCCGCGUGGAGUGAAGAAGGCCUUCGGGUUGUAAAGCUCUUUUGUCAGGGAAGAAACGGUGAGGGCUAAUAUCUCUUGCUAAUGACGGUACCUGAAGAAUAAGCACCGGCUAACUACGUGCCAGCAGCCGCGGUAAUACGUAGGGUGCAAGCGUUAAUCGGAAUUACUGGGCGUAAAGCGUGCGCAGGCGGUUUUGUAAGUUUGUCGUGAAAGCCCCGGGCUCAACCUGGGAAUUGCGAUGAAGACUGCAAGGCUUGAAUCUGGCAGAGGGGGGUAGAAUUCCACGUGUAGCAGUGAAAUGCGUAGAGAUGUGGAGGAACACCGAUGGCGAAGGCAGCCCCCUGGGUCAAGAUUGACGCUCAUGCACGAAAGCGUGGGGAGCAAACAGGAUUAGAUACCCUGGUAGUCCACGCCCUAAACGAUGUCUACUAGUUGUCGGGUUUUAAUUAACUUGGUAACGCAGCUAACGCGUGAAGUAGACCGCCUGGGGAGUACGGUCGCAAGAUUAAAACUCAAAGGAAUUGACGGGGACCCGCACAAGCGGUGGAUGAUGUGGAUUAAUUCGAUGCAACGCGAAAAACCUUACCUACCCUUGACAUGUACGGAAGGCCGGAGAGAU